Molecule: ribosomal RNA, 253 nt
Filed under: uncultured bacterium
Lineage: Bacteria
Description: partial 16S ribosomal RNA
Rfam family: Bacterial small subunit ribosomal RNA
Source: RNAcentral
UACGUAGGCAUCAAACGUUGUUCGGAAUUACUGGGCGUAAAGAGUGUGUAGGCGGCUUUGUAAGUUCUGUGUGAAAUCUCCCGGCUCAACUGGGAGGGUGCGCCGAAUACUGCAAGGCUUGAGUACUGGAGAGGAUAGCGGAAUUCCUGGUGUAGCGGUGAAAUGCGUAGAUAUCAGGAGGAACACCGGCGGUGUAGACGGCUAUCUGGACAGUAACUGACGCUGAGACACGAAAGCGUGGGGAGCAAACAGG